GUCAAAUGAUGCCAGCUCAGGAAUUCUGACAGCCACAGACUGAAUUUUGAACCUCUUCAGUUUCCAAAUAGUUAAGACAGAGAAAAUGAGUUCAGUGUAACAUAGUCAGAUUAAAAUAACCAAUUCAGUGUUGCAGGAGAAGAAUUCCGGCUGAGUCUAAGAUGAGUGCCUAGCCCAGGGCCCUGCAGUGGACAUAUGCCAUCAGUUCCUUGACAACGAGAAGCCAUAUGCAAGAAGAUCUUACUUGAAGGCGUAAAAGAACAGAAUUCAUUCAGUGAUACAUCACUUUGGUUAUCUUGAAGAUACUUAAAGAGAAGCUAGAACGUGCCAGACAUUUCUCUGCAGACUUCAUGAAGAGUUGGAGAAAGUUUCAAGGUCACAGGGGAAAAUGGAUGUAGGGGCAUUAGCUGGCAUGUCCCUUUAAAGACCAUGUGUCCUUGAGGCUCCUGUCUGGGCUACACACCAGCACUCACGAUGAUAACAGUCCUGGGCUUGGCCAACCCAGCUGCUUUCUUGUGGGAGAGUUAGCACCAAGACCUUGUGGACUGAGGGAACACAGAGGCCCUCCGGGGGGGCUCUGGUCCUUGGAAUGUAGGUCAUACAGGGACAGUCCCUUUUGGCAAGCAUGCAGACUUUGUUCCUCUCCCUACUUAAGCCAGCUUCUCUCAGGGGGUGGCAGCGGAUGCACGUUGCUGUCCAGCCCACCGUCACUGAACCUCCCCUAAUUCCACAGCUCAGGUGAACUGGUGUUGUGGCGAGGAUGGGCAUGGAGCACAGUUUACACACCUGAUAUUACCAACCUGAGGAGGUAUGAACGUCAGCACCAUCACACUCUUGCUGGAAACUGGAGGAACUGAAGACACAAGGAGAUACAAUCACUUCAGGAAUAGCUCAACUGAGCACUGGCUGAAAGGAGGUAGGAAAGGUCAUAGAGUAUAUGGCUUCUAGAUGCUUCUGCUUCUGGAUGAAGCCCCCGGCUUCUGGGUGACAGCCAGACAGGAAAGUCACGGUCUUGGACUAUCAAUUCAAAUGAUCAAAGUCAACAGAGGAAACGCCAUGAGCGCCCAAGGUGAUGCUUCAAUUUCUGUGGCCCCUGGACAGUUGUCCUUGAAGGAAAAGGGCAUCUGAUAUUGUAGGGUUGUUUCUUUUGGAGCCCAGGGCUGUGAGAGUCCUUCUCUUAACCACGGUGGGGUAUUUUUAUUUACAGCUGGGAUGAUAAUUAUAUAUACGAUUUUUUUUAAUAUGGAACAUGGAUCCUCUUUUUUACUCUUAAAGGAGAGAAAGUUUUCCUACCAAAUCUGUUAUUACCAAGUGGUAUUUUCUUCU
Molecule: long non-coding RNA, 1326 nt
Filed under: Equus caballus (horse)
Lineage: Eukaryota; Metazoa; Chordata; Mammalia; Perissodactyla; Equidae
Description: lncRNA (ENSECAG00000048943.1)
Source: RNAcentral